RNAcentral lists this ribosomal RNA (240 nucleotides) under uncultured bacterium. Its description in RNAcentral is "partial 16S ribosomal RNA". It matches the Rfam family "Bacterial small subunit ribosomal RNA", at positions 94 to 334 of the family's 1533-position model. The record is from RNAcentral.
AGCGGCGGACGGGUGAGUAACGCGUGGGUAACCUGCCUCAUACAGGGGGAUAACAGUUAGAAAUGACUGCUAAUACCGCAUAAGACCACAGCACCGCAUGGUGCGGGGGUAAAAACUCCGGUGGUAUGAGAUGGACCCGCGUCUGAUUAGCUAGUUGGUGGGGUAACGGCCUACCAAGGCGACGAUCAGUAGCCGACCUGAGAGGGUGACCGGCCACAUUGGGACUGAGACACGGCCCAA